Molecule: ribosomal RNA, 495 nt
Filed under: uncultured bacterium
Lineage: Bacteria
Description: partial 16S ribosomal RNA
Rfam family: Bacterial small subunit ribosomal RNA
Source: RNAcentral
GACGAACGCUGGCGGCGUGCCUAAUACAUGCAAGUAGAACGCUGAAGGAGGAGCUUGCUUCUCUGGAUGAGUUGCGAACGGGUGAGUAACGCGUAGGUAACCUGCCUGGUAGCGGGGGAUAACUAUUGGAAACGAUAGCUAAUACCGCAUAAGAGUAGAUGUUGCAUGACAUUUGCUUAAAAGGUGCAAUUGCAUCACUACCAGAUGGACCUGCGUUGUAUUAGCUAGUUGGUGGGGUAACGGCUCACCAAGGCAACGAUACAUAGCCGACCUGAGAGGGGGAUCGGCCACACUGGGACUGAGACACGGCCCAGAAGCCUACGGGAGGCAGCAGUAGGGAAUCUUCGGCAAUGGACGGAAGUCUGAACGAGCAACGCCGCGGGAGUGAAGAAGGUUUUCGGAUCGUAAAGCUCUGUUGUAAGAGAAGAAAGAGUGUGAGAGUGGAAAGUUCACACUGUGACGGUAUCUUACCAGAAAGGGACGGCUAACUACGUG